UGGAAAGGUGGCAGAGCGGUUUAUUGCACCGGUUUUGAAAACCGACUUAGUUAAAGCUAACGGGGGUUCGAAUCCCUCCCUUUCCGA
RNAcentral lists this transfer RNA (87 nucleotides) under Ostreobium quekettii. RNAcentral's name for it is "tRNA-Ser". It matches the Rfam family "tRNA". Rfam says of the family: Transfer RNA (tRNA) molecules are approximately 80 nucleotides in length. Their secondary structure includes four short double-helical elements and three loops (D, anti-codon, and T loops). Lineage: Eukaryota; Viridiplantae; Chlorophyta; Ulvophyceae; Bryopsidales; Ostreobiaceae. The record is from RNAcentral.